GCGUUAGUGGCGAACGGGUGAGUAAUGCAUGGGUAACGUACCUUACGCACAGGGAUAGCAGCGCCCUUCGGGGCUUUAGCGAAAGUGCUGGUAACACCUGAUAACAUUCCGAAAUCGCAUGGUUUUGGGAUCAAAGAUGGGGAUCUUCGGACCUAUCGGCGUGAGAUCGGCCUAUGUCCUAUCAGCUUGUUGGUGGGGUAACGGCCUACCAAGGCGACGACGGGUAGCCGGCGUGAGAGCGCGACCGGCCACAUCGGGACUGAGACACUGCCCGGACACCUACGGGUGGCUGCAGCAACGAAUAUUCCGCAAUGGGCGAAAGCCUAACGGAGCGACGCCGCGUGAAGGAGGAAGUCUCUCGGGAUGUAAACUUCAAUAGUUUGUCAGGAAGCAAACCGACCUAAUACGUCGGGGCGUUGACCAGCAAAUGAAAGGGGCGGCUAACUCCGUGCCAGCAGCCGCGGUAAGACGGAGGCCCCUAGCGUUGUUCGGAAUUACUGGGCUUAAAGAGCGUGUAGGCGGAACGGUAAGUACCUUAGUGAAAGCCCCGGGCUCAACUCGGGAAUUGCUUGGUAUACUAUCGUUCUUGAGGCAGGUAGGGGUUACUGGAACCUUAGGUGUAGCGGUGAAAUGCGUAGAUAUCUAAGGGAAUGCCUGUGGCGAAAGCGGGUGACUGGGCCUGUCCUGACGCUGAGACGCGAAAGCGUAGGGAGCAAACGGGAUUAGAUACCCCGGUAGUCUACGCCGUAACGAUGCGCACUAGGUUCGAGGGCUUCUGACAGUCGUCGUGCCGAAACAAAAGCGAUAAGUGCGCCGCCUGGGGAGUACGGCCGCAAGGCUAAAACUCAAAGGAAUUGACGGGGGCUCACACAAGCGGUGGAGCAUGUGGAUCAAUUCGAAGCAACGCGCAGAACCUUACCUGGGUUUGACAUGUACGGAUGCUCUUUGCGAAAGCGGAGUAGGCUGCCUUCGGGUGAAACGUACACAGGUGCUGCAUGGCUGUCGUCAGCUCGUGCUGUGAAGUGUCGGGUUAAGUCCCUUAACGAGCGAAACCCUUGUCGCUAGUUGCCAGCGGUUCGGCCGGGAACUCUAGCGAGACUGCCGGCGUUAAGCCGGAGGAAGGUGGGGAUGACGUCAAGUCAUCAUGGCCUUUAUGCCCAGGGUGUCACACGUGCUACAAUGGGGCGUACAGAGCGAAGCAAGACCGUGAGGUGG
RNAcentral lists this ribosomal RNA (1215 nucleotides) under metagenome. RNAcentral's name for it is "bacterial SSU rRNA". It matches the Rfam family "Bacterial small subunit ribosomal RNA", at positions 89 to 1265 of the family's 1533-position model. The record is from RNAcentral.